This 264-nucleotide ribosomal RNA is filed under the name uncultured Oscillospiraceae bacterium. Its description in RNAcentral is "partial 16S ribosomal RNA". It matches the Rfam family "Bacterial small subunit ribosomal RNA", at positions 76 to 339 of the family's 1533-position model. Lineage: Bacteria; Bacillati; Bacillota; Clostridia; Eubacteriales; Oscillospiraceae. The record is from RNAcentral.
UCCAAUUGAAGCAGAGGACAGUGGCGGACGGGUGAGUAACGCGUGAGGAACCUGCCUUUCAGAGGGGGACAACAGUUGGAAACGACUGCUAAUACCGCAUGACACAUAGAGAUCGCAUGGUUUUAUGUCAAAGAUUUUAUCGCUGAUAGAUGGGCUCGCGUCCGAUUAGAUAGUUGGUGGGGUAACGGCCUACCAAGUCGACGAUCAGUAGCCGGACUGAGAGGUUGAACGGCCACAUUGGGACUGAGAUACGGCCCAGACUCC